Molecule: long non-coding RNA, 6790 nt
Filed under: Homo sapiens (human)
Lineage: Eukaryota; Metazoa; Chordata; Mammalia; Primates; Hominidae
Description: HSALNT0404197
Source: RNAcentral
GGUCUCAAACUCCUAAACUCAAGCGAUCCACCCCCGCCUGGGCCUCCCAAAGUGCUGGGAUUACAGGUGUGAGUUGCCCCACCCAGCCGUGAUUAAUUUGGGCUUUCAACACCCUAAAAUGGGAGAAGGUGGUAGCAUAGAGUGUGUAUGACUGAUUGUAUUUACAUUUGUUGCAAUUUGAAGAAAUGUAGUUAGAAGUCCAUCUGCAGAGAGAUUAUGACCAUCGCUUCUGUCUGACCAAGGUCUGUUUUCCUGAUCGGUUGGAUGCCUCAGCGUGCAUUCCCAGGACUUUAUGAGAUGAUCCACUGAAGGAUUUCAGCAAGAACAUUCUGGAGUGUCAACUGAUACGUUUUUCAGUCUCAGCUUGCUCACUGUUUGAGUAGUGUCACAUGUACAUGCGUGUUAUUAGAGGCGAAUGCACGUUUUUGUUACUGAGAGAGUGGCCCUAGAGCAGAUGCCAGCGAACUGCAGCCCACAGCCCGAAUCUAGCCUGCCGCCUCUUUUCAUGUGGCUCACAAGCUAGUCAUAGUAUUAUAUUUUAAUAGUGUGGGAAAACAUCAGAAGAAGAACAAUAUUUUGUGGAACAUGAAAAUUAUAUGUUUACAUUUUAGCAUCCAUAAACGUGGUUUCAUUAGAACACACUUCUAUGGUUUGAAUGUCCUCUCCAAAACUCAUGUUGAAACUUAGUCUCUAACGUCACUAUAUUAAGAGAUAGGGCCUUUAAGAAGUGAUGGGGGCAUGGGAACUCUGCCCUCAUGAAUGGAUUAAUCUAUUCAUGGAUUAAUGGAUUAAUGCAUUAAUGGAUUGGUGGUUUAUCAUCGCAAGGAAACUGGCAGUUUUGUAAGAAGAGGAAGGGAGACAGUGGCAGGGAAACUGGCGGCUUUGUAGCAAGAGGAAGUGAGACUUGAGUCCUCUCACCACAGGUUGCCCUGCACCAACCACCACAGGACUCUGUAGAGAGUCCUGGCUAGCAAGAGGAUCUUCACCAGAUGUGGCCUCUUGACCUGAGACUUCUCAGCCUCCAUAACUGUUAAGUUUCCUGGAGAAUUCUGAAGGAUAUGCCCCCUUCCUCUCCUACAGCUCAGAGUUGUUCUGUGCACUUGGAUCAGCCUCCACAACUUCCCCCCGGGACAGGGCACCCAUCACCAUCUCCUACCUGGACAGCAGCAAACACUGCCCCCGUGACUUCCUGGUGCCAUCCUUGGCUCCAUUACGUCCAUUCUCCAGUGGCUGGCAGAGUGAGCUUGAAGAACGUGUGACAUGCCCUUCAGAAUGUUCUACUUCCUGUUCCAGAAGGACAGCCCCUCAUGCCUUCCCGCGGGCCACACGCCACCUCUUCCUCAGUGCCCCAGCCUGGCAUCCUCUUCCUGCAUUCAGCCUUCUUUUCCGAGGUGUCAUCUUGCUGGAGGGCAGAAGGAUUCCCUGGAACCUGGGGGCCAGCAGGACAGAGGAAACAGAAAGUACAUGACCGAUGAUGUCUUUCGACCACAGAAAGGGCUGGAAGAAGCAGGGGACCUACUGUUUGAAUAAACCCAGUGGAAAAACAGAAGCCCCAUUUCAUACUUGACUCAGCUCUUCAAGUUUAAAUCUUGAAUCUCCUCAACUACACGGAACAGUGUCUCUCCCAAGUCAUCUGACACCCACUCUGUUCUCUGGAUCAUUCCUUCCUAGAGAACGUUGCUCUUGGAGGGCUGUGAUCUGCUCUCACCCACUUGCCUUUCUGACCCACUGAGUGCAUCUCAACAGUCACUUGGGGUGAUCCGAUCUGACCAGGAAGGGUUGGGUGGCUCGUGGAGCUUGGGAAGCACUCUCACUGUGGCGGUCCCCAUUGGUGGUCAUGGGGUUGCCACAGUGAGCUACGUUUCUACCCUCAUCUCUCUAUAUGUUACCGUGGAAUCUCUGACUGAGGACCCAUGGGCUCACCCAAUGUGAUAAAGUCCUGAAGCUCAGCCGGGACGUCCGACCCCAGCUGCAGGACUUUCCAAUAGACAGAUGCAUAGAACUUGAGAAGAAAUCGACUUAGAAACCUGAAGUUGGAAAACUGGUUGCCUGACAUUCUGUGCAAGACUGAAUCUCUGAGAAAUGAAGGCUGUGUAACUUUGGGACCAUGUCUUUUCCAGCCUACAUAGACCCCCAGGAAACUUUGCAGUUGUUCCCCAAGUAUGGAUGGAGUCAAACUUGAUGUCCUUUCAUCCCCCCAUCCCAUCCACUAAUCCAUAUCCUUUGGAAAUUUUAGAGUGCCGGGCCUCAUGUAAAUACACCAAAAACAAUUUAAGUCAUUUAUGUUCUACUAAGCCAAGAGUUCUUUAGCGGUGGAAGAAGAUGGGGUCUUACACGAAUGGAAGGGUCUUGGCUAUUUGCGUCGGUAUCAACAGAAGGACUAGACGCUUGCACUAAAAGAAAAAGCUGAGGGAUGGGGGCAGGAAGCGGGAAGCUGGGACCCAAGCCCCACCUUCCUGAGUUGGAAGGUGACAGGUAGACUCCUGCUUGUUUGCCAGAGAGGCCUGGCAGAGGAGGUGCAUCCCAGCACAGAAGGGCAGCACAGAGGCAGCCUGAGAAGAUUCUGUCGCUGCCAGGUCACCAGGACCUCUGGACCACAGCUGGGUUGCGCUGUUUUCCAGUUUGUGAAACUAGGACUUUGGGGAACAUCCUGUGAAUUGGUGUCAUUUUGAUUUUCCUGGAGGAUUUUUGAGGUCAGCGUGACUGCUGUCACUAACUAAAAUAAAAUCCGAAGUCCCCAAGUGACUGAACAGACCCCCUCUUGGCCAAGGGGACCCCAGAGAAACCUGAAAGCUGAGCUCCCAGCCAUGAGGGGACGGGCGAUCGGACACGCUUCAUCACAGUCCCUCCCCUUUGUGGUUUAAACGACGAUGAUCGGCUGUCAUGCUAAAAUAGAGACACGAGACCGACAGCACAGACUCCUUAUGGCAAUAAGACACCAAAUUAUAAGCAGCACCUCAGGCCACGCCAGGUAAGGGUCGAGCCGCGCACUCUACACUUAGAGAACGGACUCUGCUCUCACACCACAGCGUCUUCUUUUUCUUCAGCAGCUAAACACGCACCGGCCCCGAGAUUCAAACGACUGCAGCUCAUCCACCUGCAGACGCUGGCUGACCCCGUUCCACAGCUGUGACUAUAGCUUUGAUUGGACAAGAGGUUGAUUUCAGUCUCCUGGUAAGAGACCACCAACCAUAGACCUGGUUCAGGCUGAUUAUAGAAGCUGCACACUUGUAUGCCUUCGAGUCCCUGCCUCACCUUUUGACGUGUAGGGACUCAUUGUAAUGCUUUUAAAUGUGAAGCCUCCACCCCAAAGUGAACAUGGGACGCAUGUAACGUGCAUGUUCAGUGGGCACGGCUCAGGACUCUCUUUGUGAAUAUUCAUAGCUCCUCCUGGAACCUGAAUAUGUAUGUUUGGCCAGCUCAAUUCAGCAUGAGGCUCCUGCUGCAACACCGCCUCCUUCCAGGUGCCUGCCAGCUGUUUCUGCCAGAGGCUGCGUCUCCCGGCCUGUCAGAAUGGCCACCCUGCAGGCUGUAAUCCUUUAGAAGAAAUAAAGAUCCCCUUUCCAGAUGUAUAGAUCUUGUGAUUUUUUUCCAUUCACAUCCUUGCAUCUUAUAAUGCCCUGUCUCCAUGGGGGUUACAUAGAAAGCCCUCAGCCUCUAGGGCAGAUGGAGCCAGGACUGAGGGUGGGGGUGGAGAAGGAUCAGGAGACUCACUUCAAGGACUUUCUGGUGCCGGCAGUGUAGGCUUGCCAGAUGAAAUACAGGACACCCAGCAACAUGAACUUUCGUAAUUUUUAUAGUGUAAAUGUGUUCCAAAUAUUGCAUGGGACAUGCUUAUCCUGAAGAAUUAUUCAUUGUUUAUCUGAAAUCCAAAUUUAACUAGGUGUCCUGUAUUUUUAUUUGCUAAAUCUGGUGACCCUUCACUGGGGAGACGCUUUUAAACAGCCUCAACUUAGAAAUUCUUCUCUUCCUGCCAAAAGCGCUAGGGUCUGUAUAUGGGUGCAUGGAAACACGAAAUUAUUGUCACAGGACUGAAGAGUAUGAAAGACUUCUAGUAACCACCAGCUGUGGCAGGGGCCUGUGCAGGGGGUACCCUGGCAGGGAGGAAGCUGCCUUAAUUUUCAACCUCGGACAGAAAAGCGCAUCUGUUAGACACAGCAGAAAGCAGACCUACAUGUAUGGUUAAUAAGGACUAUGUAUUUGACUGCUGUGGGUUCAAUUGUGUCCCUGCGAGAGACACAUUGAAGUCCUAACCCCUGCUGCUUCAGCAUUUGGCUUUAUUUGGAAAUAAGGUCACUGCCAGUGCAGUUAGCUGAGAUGAAAUCAUACUGGUGUCUGGUGGGCCCUUAUUCCAAUAUGACUCGUGAUAUCACAAGAAGAGGAGGACAGACACAGAGACACACUCCAGAGGGAGAAGGCCAUGUGACAGCCACGGACUGCUGGAAGCAGCGGAAUCUAAAGGCAAGGCAGGGAACAGAUUCUCCCUCCCAGUCCUUCGAGAGAACCAACUCUGCCGACAGCUUGAUUUCAGAAUUCUGGUUUCCAGAACGGUGAGAGAAUAAAUUCCUGUUGUUUUAAGCCUCCCGUUUGUGGUGCUUUGUUAUGGCAGCCCCAGGGACUAAUGCAGUCACCGUCACUUGAUUGCAGACAAAACGACUGAGGGUUCUCUGCAAUGAAUUUCAAGUUCUGAAUUGAAAGAGGCUUCAGAGCCUGAAGAAAGAGGCGAUGCCAGCACUCUCUGGAGUGGGAUCCACAGAAGCAGAGAAAGCCCAGGGGAUGAGCCAACCCAGAAUCCAAACGCCCGUGGAUCGGGCCAGACCCAGGACGGCGCUAUCUUGCACACCCAUCACAGGCUUGGGGACACUAGAACUGCACUGUCAGAUAUUCCUGACUUCAUGUGUGUGUGUUUGUGUGUGUGUAGAUCAGGCCAUAUGAUUUACUUGCUGCACUCUGAGCGAUGCUGUGUAGAUAAAGCUAUAUUAUCUAUUUGCUACACUCUGAAUAAUGCCUUCCUCAGUGAUAAUCAUAAUCAAGUGAGCUUUGGAUUGUCAUUAUGAAGUCUCAAAUUAAAACAAUUGGUUGAGAUACUGCCAGCAAGGCAACUAGAUCGGGGAUUGCAGCUGCUGAUGCCAGUCUAGUAUUUAGGUAAGAGGAUGCCUCCACCCUCUUAGAGCAUGUGGCUUGCACAUCCAUUCUUUCAGUGCAGGAAGGGCUGGAGUGUCCACUCCCUACUCCCAACCCCAUCAGUUGUUGUAUGGUCCAAAAUGCAAAGUAAUUUUAAUGUGAUCCAAGAUGCAUAUAAAAACAUUUUAAAAACAGAUAUGUUAUGCAUUGCUUAGAAUGAUGCACCAUCCGCUUCAUGAACAAGCAAGAACUAACUCUAUCAUUGACUUCAUCCACAAAUACUAGAGGUGAUGAACUUGAGGUCAAAGUUCCGAAGUCAGACAGCAUGGGUUUAUUCAUCGCCUGCUAUGUGCAAAUCCUAGAUGUCACCAGGCUCUGCUCACUUGGUGUCUUGGCCACUCUGGGUGAUGUUUACACAAGGCUUGGUGGCUUUGAGAUGGGUUGCAAACAAGAGAUAUCAGUUGUUGGACUUUUGCUUAUAGCUUGGGGUUGGACAUCCUCUAUCCCUCGAUACCUCCUUGCACCCAUCAGCCGUUAUCUUUGAAGGAAACUUUUUCCUUGAGUCUGGUUCCUUGUCUUCAGGUUCUAACCUCAUGGUUUUGGAUCCUUGUCCCUAUGGUUGUGAUCCUUCCUGUCCUUGGCUCUAGUGCUCUUUUUUUUUUUUUUUUCUAUUUCUUUCCUCUACCUGUGCACAUGACCUCUUUGAAGAGCUCACCUCCUCCAGGAAGCCUCCCUGGAAUCACCCUUUUGCCUUCCAUUCUCCUUGUUUAUACAGUCCAUGUCAGUAUAUCCAAAUUGAAUUAUCGCGGUGUGCUGCUUUGCAAUGUGUAUCUGAUUUCACCAAAACCCUCUACUGUCUCUAAUCCCGGGUAUCCAAUUUCAUGUGAAGUUCAGUGAUGUGCUCCUCCCUCCUCCUCUUGCACGCAUGAGCAGGUACUCAACACUUUCUGGUCCAGCUACAUGUGACAUGAGGCCACUCACGCUCUUUUUAAUUAACCCUUAUGACAAUCAUGUGCGUUAUGGAGAAAAUUAAUGGAGGAAAAAUUACAGAGUCACCCGAAACAGUUGCGCUGCUUAUCACCCGGUGUUUGAGCCUGUUUCCCCUGUAAUUAGAUUACAUGUGAGGCAGCCCCAGCUAAUUGUCUGUGCCACCCACCGGGGAACUCCAGCUCUAUCUGUGAACACCCAGGCCUUCCCGCCGCAGGACAGAUGUUGGGUGAGGCUUGCCUCCCACGCAAACAUCUGCUCUGUUGUUCCGAGUCAGUCACGAGAGCCAGCCGGCUUAGACAAGCAGGGGAUGAAUUCCUGGGCGAGAUGCUUGAUCCUGCCAAGUUUCUGAGCACCAGGCUUGGGCCUCUUGAACAGUUCCCUGCAUCUUCCAUGAUCGGCCAGUGCCUCUGCUUCUGCAUUUAGAAACCAGAGUUCACUUCUGGUGGCCUCAAGCCAAAAUGAGUCUACGAACCAGAAGUCUCUUGACAUUGACACUGAUAAACUUUGAUAUGGAAGCAUUUUUGUUUUUGGCAACCAUCAAUUUUUUUUUGUUUUUCCUCAAACACAUGCAUGGAUGAUGUGAGAACCGGUACCUGGAAACUGAGAGACUGCCGCAUGUGUUUCGGGCUCCCAGCUCUAUCCAUAACUGUCUUUGGGGGCUUCCUAGGCAACCUGG